UUGUGUGUGUAUUUCUCUGAGAGACUGAGAACGACCGAGUUCAUCUGGGUUGAGUGAGCCUGUCUGAAUGAAAUUUGUCGAGCCUGAGUGCCGAGCGAGAGGCUGCAAGCAAAAAAUACAUUUCGCGAGUGAGUCUGAGUGAAUUUCGUUUACUUUGCGGACCUACGGUCACAUGUCGAACCAGUGACUCAGUUGUACAUUCUUGCACAUUUCUGUCUGGAGCACUGAAUCGGUGCUCUGCGAUAAAAAAAAAAGAAAGAAAUAUCUAUAUCAUUGCGUUGCUGGCCGGCUUGAGAGACAAUGCUCGGGAACAGUGGCUGCCACGGUAUUCAGCCAGGCGCAUUCAACCUAACAGCUGUUGUGUCAAUCACUCUUUCUUUGCUCUUCGGCGCAGCGCUCGAGCUCCCUAGACAGCAGCAGUGUGGACGACCGCACAAACAGCCAAGCCCUGCAUCACUCUGCAUGACACUCACGACACCGGCAUGCUGCUUACCGCGACCUGUUCGAGGCUAUACCUCUGGACCGAGCCACAUCCCACACGGCUGGAGAACCGUCGCAGCGUGUCCAGCUCGCAACGUCUCGAUGGACUUUCUCCGGUGGCCUCGCAGGAGUAGGGACUCAUUCGGCCCUACCUGUUCCCUAGCGGCUCACUCCGUUCCAGCCUGCCUGGCAGGAAGACGGACGUGUCUAUCGCCUAGCAAGGACACUGAGGUGUGCGGCAACGGCAUCUAGGUCACGUGUUCGACUCGCGGUCGGAACUGCGAGACACGGGGCGCCCCAGAUGAAUUGGGCAAGUUUACUUAAUGGUAACGUGAGGUGGUAUCUACUUCAACAUUGUGUUUUGAAAUCUAUUACUGAUUAUGUACACGCGUAGCCCUAGAUAACGUUACAGAUAAAGGCGCCUCAUAUUCGUAUUACAGAAAGUUUGUGGGGUUCUUACGUGCCAAAAACUUUUAUUUUACCUGCUGAUUAAAUUUUGCAUGCCUUUAUGUGUGUAUAUGUACAUAUAUAUGUUGUAGGUGUGUAUGACAUGUGCAAGGCCGAAAAUGAAGUGCCUCCUAUUAUGUGCCGAUGUUUAUUUCGAAUAAAGACAAGCUCUGUGUUA
This is a long non-coding RNA of Dermacentor andersoni, 1105 nucleotides long. RefSeq lists it as uncharacterized. Lineage: Eukaryota; Metazoa; Arthropoda; Arachnida; Ixodida; Ixodidae. The record is from RefSeq and is a predicted model, not a curated record.